RNAcentral lists this non-coding RNA (22 nucleotides) under Arabidopsis thaliana (thale cress). The record is from RNAcentral. Lineage: Eukaryota; Viridiplantae; Streptophyta; Magnoliopsida; Brassicales; Brassicaceae.
UACUUCAGCCUCGUGUGUUGGA